Thamnophis elegans (Western terrestrial garter snake) is the source of this 639-nucleotide long non-coding RNA. RefSeq lists it as uncharacterized. NCBI's taxonomy places the organism in Eukaryota, Metazoa, Chordata, Lepidosauria, Squamata, Natricidae. The transcript is spliced from 2 exons. The record is from RefSeq and is a predicted model, not a curated record.
CAUUGGCUCAACGUGGCAGCCUGUCCUUCAAACACCUCAAAUUUUGCAAGUUCUUAGUGUUCGCUUCCCCUUUCAAAUGGCAAUGGAGGGAUUUCAAAGGACAUAAAUGCAAACUUCAUUGAAAGCCUGCUUUUACAGGAUGAAGCAAACGCAGAUCCACCAAGUGCAUACCCAGGAUCACCUAAGAGUAAGGCCAGCUCUGUGAAAGAGGUCAACAGCAUGUAUUAAACCAAAAGGGACACUGCGAAGCACCAACAUUCUCCAACAAGAUACACAAAAGAUUUGGAACCAUUUGUGGUGCUCCAGAUGUUGAUUAACCAAACUUCCCAGUGUGCCUUGUCAACAUCUUCACGCUAACCAGGAUUUGAAUGUGUGAUUGAAUCACAAGUAGGGACACACAAAACUUAGUGGCCCGAUAACAAAAGAGAACCUGCAGUAAUAAAAUAAAUAAAUAAACAACUGACUCAGGAACAAUAGAAUCAGCACACUACGGAAGAAAAACCCAAAAUUUUCUGGAGGGACAGCCAGAUCGUAAGAGUUUUAUAGUCAGGUUUCCAAAACCAUGAGAUGCAGAGCGCGAUGGAAGGAAGGAAAGAGUGCCAUGCUGAAAAGUGAUCCACUUUCCAAGAUCACUUAUUA